GAAAUGCAGAAGGUCAGGGAAGUG
This 24-nucleotide unclassified non-coding RNA is filed under the name Mus musculus (house mouse). Its description in RNAcentral is "oocyte_clustered_small_RNA5789". The record is from RNAcentral. Lineage: Eukaryota; Metazoa; Chordata; Mammalia; Rodentia; Muridae.